GCUCUUCUGGUUCUUAGGCCUUAAGACUCACCAUCUGCUAUCCUGAGUCUCCAGAUUUUGAAUGCAGAUCUUGGGACUUGUCAGCCUGCAUAAUCAUGUGAGUUAAUUCUUUAUUUUCUACACACACACACAUACAUACAUACAUCCAAUAUGGUUCUGUUUCUCCAGAGAAGCUAAUAAGACUAAUAAUAUUAGUCUCUAACUAAUAUACCCAGAGACUUCUAGGAUUUGAUUACCAUCCUUGAAUUGAUGAGGGACCGUAAAAAACAAUGUAUACAGGGUAGGUUUUUAAAUCCGUGGAAUGGAAGGUAGUUAACCUUAUUGACAAGAAAUUCCUUCUGUGCUAGGUUGUUUGAAUGAAUCCGAAGUGAAAGCUGUUGUUUCUGCUUCCAAAAAGGCUUGAUCUCAGUUUGUCACUUGCCUGCAAUGUUUUCCAUUACUGUGCACUGUUUGAAAAUGCCUUGAUGGCGAUAAUCAUUGGGCUCCUGGAGUGUGAUCAGUGUGGAGACUGCUGUAGCUGAGACCAAAGAAGUGACUUCAGGAUCAGCAUUUUAGGUAGCAAAACAGGUCUACUUCUCAUUAUAAAUAUAUAUGUAUAUAUAUGCAUAUAUAUAUACAGACAUACAGAAAUAUGUAAUUUGAACAGCUUGGAGGAGAAGAUUUAUGGAAGACAUGAACAUACGAAGAUCCUGAAGAAGACUAAUGCACCCCAUUUAUGUAGUCUGAAGUUUAUAGCUGCUCUCAUUAAACAGCUGGCCUGGACUAAGCUGCAAGAGUUUUUGGUACUGCUAUGAAAAUGUGUUUGACCCAUUAGGGUUGCUCCCAAAACUGGCCAGGAAGCAUCAUCCUAUGUCACUGUUUCUCAUUUAAUAAUGAACAGAACUCACUUGAAAAUGAAUAGCUUCUGCAGUGUUGAAUAUCUUCGUUUGGGCUGCUGUAACAAAAUAUAAAGUAGAUAGGCUUAUAAACAACAUGGCCUUCUCUGUCUCUCAUUUCUUCAUUAAUAUAGCUAGGG
Molecule: long non-coding RNA, 1015 nt
Filed under: Felis catus (domestic cat)
Lineage: Eukaryota; Metazoa; Chordata; Mammalia; Carnivora; Felidae
Description: lncRNA (ENSFCAG00000045872.2)
Source: RNAcentral